UAACAAGGAUUCCCCUAGUAACGGCGAGUGAAGCGGGAUGAGCUCAAAUUUAAAAUCUGGCAGUCUACGAUUGUCCGAGUUGUAAAUUCGAGAAGCGUUUUCCGCGACGGCCUGUGUUCAAGUCCCUUGGAAUAGGGCGUCAUAGAGGGUGAGAGUCCCGUCCUUGACACAGACAACCGUUGCUAUGUGAUACGCUCUCUAUGAGUCGAGUUGUUUGGGAAUGCAGCUCAAAGUGGGUGGUAAAUUCCAUCUAAAGCUAAAUACUGGCGAGAGACCGAUAGCGAACAAGUACCGUGAGGGAAAGAUGAAAAGCACUUUGGAAAGAGAGUGAAAUAGUACGUGAAAUUGUUGAAAGGGAAACGAUUGAAGUCAGUCGUGCCUGCCGUGUUCAGCCGUCCUCGUGGCGGUGUACUCAUGGUUUGGCAGGUCAGCAUCACUUUGGGUGAGUCGACAAGGGGUUCAGGAAUGUGGCAUCCCCGGAUGUGUUAUAGCCUGGAUUCGCAUCGGCUUGGCUGGAGUGAGGAACGCAGUGCGCCCGCAAGGGUUGGUCUUCGGAUACAU
RNAcentral lists this ribosomal RNA (561 nucleotides) under Cystofilobasidium sp. Its description in RNAcentral is "partial large subunit ribosomal RNA". It matches the Rfam family "Eukaryotic large subunit ribosomal RNA", at positions 66 to 709 of the family's 3401-position model. Lineage: Eukaryota; Fungi; Basidiomycota; Tremellomycetes; Cystofilobasidiales; Cystofilobasidiaceae. The record is from RNAcentral.